This 263-nucleotide long non-coding RNA is filed under the name Gossypium barbadense (sea-island cotton). RNAcentral describes it as "long non-coding RNA (GBAR_LNC012239)". The record is from RNAcentral. Lineage: Eukaryota; Viridiplantae; Streptophyta; Magnoliopsida; Malvales; Malvaceae.
UUAUUCUUAGGCUAGAUAAUAAAAAGACAGUCAUUACUAGUACUUUUAGUUCCUUUGGGAUUAACAAUCCGGUCUUGCUAAAACUAUACUACUGUUCGAUAGGUACACUUGCCUAUAUCGUGAUAAUAGUUAGUUUCAAGAAUGAUUCAUUAUAAAUAUUAAAAACCUUCCACAAAAAUCGCGUAUCAAGUUUUUGGCGCCGUUGCGGGGGAACUAAGAUAUUAGAUACGCUCAAUUUUUAUUACUUUAGCCAUUUGUUUUCC